This 328-nucleotide long non-coding RNA is filed under the name Jatropha curcas. Its description in RNAcentral is "long non-coding RNA (JCUR_LNC000034)". The record is from RNAcentral. Lineage: Eukaryota; Viridiplantae; Streptophyta; Magnoliopsida; Malpighiales; Euphorbiaceae.
GAAAAACUGUAUGAAACUGGAUGAAACUGUAUGCUUGGCUGCUAUGGCCUAUAUAAUCAUAUCCACUCAACGGCCUGUAGCCGGAGUACCAAACUGUAUGAGGCGCAGAUCUGCUAUUCUAUGUCGCGACAUAGCCUUAUCUACAUGGUUUCUACCUAACCUCAAUGGAGCAUAUUAAUGGAAUGACAAUAGAUAAAACAAAAGCAUAGUAACUGUGUCAUAAUUUGCAUGCUUGUGUCAUGUUAUUUUCACUUGCUUGUGUCAUAAAAUUAACUGCUUCAUCAUUUCAUAAAAUUUACUGCUUACCUGUAUGCUGAUAGCCUCGCCA